RNAcentral lists this long non-coding RNA (396 nucleotides) under Elaeis guineensis (African oil palm). RNAcentral's name for it is "long non-coding RNA (EGUI_LNC003356)". Lineage: Eukaryota; Viridiplantae; Streptophyta; Magnoliopsida; Arecales; Arecaceae. The record is from RNAcentral.
UUGUAUUAGGUCGUCAUUAUCGAGUUUCUUGUAUUUUUGAUUGGUUCGACGUCGACACCAUUUAGAGGUUCCUAGCCAUUGUCGUGUUGAUUCGCCUUUUUGUUCGUGACCGUAGAUCUUACUUUCUCUUCCUCCUUCUUCAUGGAGAUGAUGUCCUUUGUGUUUUUAGUGUAGUUUGGCCUUCGUUUUUUGUUGGGGUAGCCCGCCGCUGUUCCUUCAUAUUUCCCUCCUUCUUUUAGGCAAGGAUUCUCUCUAGCUUUUCACAGAGAAGCGGUAGCGUAGAAGGGCCACCAAGAAGGUUUUCUUCUUUCUUGUCGGGUCUCGAAUGGUCGGACCUUAAUUGAUGUCAGGAUGAGGUUCUUCUCCUAUUUCUGAUGUGAUCGGUUUCAGCUCAGG